UGAGGGAAUAUUUGGGUCAAUGGGCGGAAGCCUGAACCAGCCAAGUCGCGUGAGGGAAGACGGUCCUACGGAUUGUAAACCUCUUUUGCCGGGGAACAACGGGCGUCACGCGUGGCGCUGUGAGUGUACCCGGAGAAAAAGCAUCGGCUAACUCCGUGCCAGCAGCCGCGGUAAUACGGAGGAUGCGAGCGUUAUCCGGAUUUAUUGGGUUUAAAGGGUGCGCAGGCGGCGCGUCAAGCCGGCGGUAAAAUUGCGGGGCUCAACCCCGUACGAGCCGU
RNAcentral lists this ribosomal RNA (278 nucleotides) under uncultured Barnesiella sp. RNAcentral's name for it is "partial 16S ribosomal RNA". It matches the Rfam family "Bacterial small subunit ribosomal RNA", at positions 352 to 627 of the family's 1533-position model. The record is from RNAcentral. Lineage: Bacteria; Pseudomonadati; Bacteroidota; Bacteroidia; Bacteroidales; Barnesiellaceae.